This is a long non-coding RNA of Ailuropoda melanoleuca (giant panda), 258 nucleotides long. RefSeq lists it as uncharacterized. Lineage: Eukaryota; Metazoa; Chordata; Mammalia; Carnivora; Ursidae. The record is from RefSeq and is a predicted model, not a curated record. The transcript has 3 exons.
CAGCCUCUCACCGAGCUCUCCAUCGUGUUCCCGGUUUUGUGGUUUCAGCUGUGACUUUCCUGACCUCUCAACGAUCUUCUUCCAGAUGUCACCUCACCAACGUGUCCCACCAGGGAGGCGCUUCCACGGAGCAUCUGAAAUUAUCAAGGCAGGGGCCCUCGGAGCACCUGACCCCCUUAUUAAAACUGAACACUGCCUGGUUCUGGAUUUAUAGUCAACUCCUAGGGUGCACGGAGGGGGAGAGAGACUCUUAAGCGG